RNAcentral lists this ribosomal RNA (252 nucleotides) under uncultured bacterium. RNAcentral's name for it is "partial small subunit ribosomal RNA". It matches the Rfam family "Bacterial small subunit ribosomal RNA", at positions 26 to 285 of the family's 1533-position model. The record is from RNAcentral.
AGGACGAACGCUGGCGGCGUGCUUAACACAUGCAAGUCGAGCGGAAAGGCCCUUCGGGGUACUCGAGCGGCGAACGGGUGAGUAACACGUGAGUAACCUGCCCCUAGCUCUGGGAUAGCUCCGGGAAACCGGGAUUAAAUACCAGAUACGACCACUUUAGACAUCUGUCGUGGUGGAAAGGAUUCCGGCUAGGGAUGGGCUCGCGGCCUAUCAGCUUGUUGGUGGGUAACGCCUACGAAGGCGACGACGGUA